GUGAAUCAUCAAAUCUUUGAACGCAAAUUGCACUCUCCGGUUUUCCGGGAGAGUAUGCCUGUUUGAGGGUCUGUUUAAAAAUUAAUCGAGGCUGCUGCUGUGGUGCCGCUUCGGAUUGGGGGAAUCUUCCACCUUUCGGGGUUGUAAGCGACCUAAAAUUUUUCUUACGAUUUCUACGAACGUUUCUAAGAAUUUUUCUUUUACGUUCGCAAAAUCAAAAUAAUAUUAGGGCCGACCGCGGCG
RNAcentral lists this unclassified non-coding RNA (243 nucleotides) under Glomus sp. RNAcentral describes it as "partial contains 5.8S ribosomal RNA and internal transcribed spacer 2". The stretch from base 1 to 72 matches the Rfam family "5.8S ribosomal RNA", at positions 84 to 154 of the family's 154-position model. Lineage: Eukaryota; Fungi; Glomeromycota; Glomeromycetes; Glomerales; Glomeraceae. The record is from RNAcentral.